Molecule: long non-coding RNA, 1148 nt
Filed under: Mus spicilegus (steppe mouse)
Lineage: Eukaryota; Metazoa; Chordata; Mammalia; Rodentia; Muridae
Description: lncRNA (ENSMSIG00000031563.1)
Source: RNAcentral
UUUUACUGCUGUCUCCAGAUCGAAUUAUUACUGUAGAGAGAUAUUUUUUUCUAUUUCAUUAACAGAUUAUUAUAAAGCAAUAAGCUUGCAGGAAGACAAGCAGACGUUUCACCUUGGGAAUUAAUGAAAGCGUGCCUGCUAGCUUUUAAGGGGUGAAGAGUGGGUAGUUGUUUAAAACCUUACCCCACCCUCGCAAAAACUCUUUGGAAAUGGGAGAAUCGAGACGUGGAUGAUUCUUGGGGCGUUCCUAAUCACCAGGUGUCAGACUAUGUGGUGUUUGUGGACUGGUCUAGCGUGCCAAAUCAAAGAUCAGCAGGGGGAAAAAUCAUUUGAGAAGAAUUCUACAAGGCGCAUCCAAUGCUUAGCAGGACCACCCUGACAGAGAAAGGAAGACGAUGUUUGGGGAAGGCGAGGGUUCGGGGCAGCUGGGGCGGAGGCGGCCGUCCGCGGCACGGUGGCUUCGUGCGCUGCCCUAGGGGAAGAGGAUGGGCCUGAGGUCCGGGAAGAGCCUUCCCGAGCCCCCCACUGCCAAUGCAUGCGGGGAGGGAAAAGUUCCGAAGCUGCCUCGAGGGAACAAAAGCCUGAUUUGGGGCCGGCUGAACUGGACAGGACUUUGAAGCAAAGCCAGCCUGCUCCGGAGACAGGCAGGGGUUCCUGCUGGCUCGGCGGAGGCCGGAGCAAGCCUCGCCGCCGCCCUCGCCACCGCGCCGCCGCCGCCGCGGCCCCUGCGUUACUGGGGGAGACGGUGCCGCUGCGACAGGGGAGGACGCGGCUGGAGCUGAAGGAGGCUCCAACGCGCAGGCGCCGCCGAGCCCUGCCUGGAUGCUCAGUCAAGGCACUCAGGAAAAAAAAUCAGCAAUUUAUAGAAAGAAGAAGCUAUAGUCUGUCAGGAUAUCCAACACCAACAGGGGUGGUGGAUUUCAGGUUUCGUAAUGUUGCAUGAUGCGAUCGGUAUUUACCCGGGGAUGUACCGGUUGGGAAAUUAACAUCAUCGGAUGCAGUUCUGCCUGGGCUUCCAUCAGCAUAUUCCAGGCAAGUGACAAGUGGCAAAGGGAAUAACAGAGGAAACUGAUUUCGCUGGUGUGGCUCACUGGCACCUAGGAGACAAUGUGCAUUUUGUUUGAAAAUAAAGCCACUUGUGAUUUGCA